This 172-nucleotide small nucleolar RNA is filed under the name Myotis brandtii (Brandt's bat). RNAcentral describes it as "Small nucleolar RNA SNORA81". It matches the Rfam family "Small nucleolar RNA SNORA81". Lineage: Eukaryota; Metazoa; Chordata; Mammalia; Chiroptera; Vespertilionidae. The record is from Rfam by way of RNAcentral.
UCUUUUUAGUUAAUAUACUUUAUUCAAUUGAACUCAGCAGCUGCUGUCUUUCAUAUAUGAAAAUAUGGUUCUAGCAGAGUACACACAAGAAGAAAAGUAACUGCAAUAGAUGAUAAAGACUGGGGUGGACCUCUUUCUUAAUGUCCAGUGUCCUUUGUCUUUAAAAAAAAAA